CACAGUGUAGCAAUACAUGGGUGGCGACCGGCAAACGGGUGCGGAACACGUACGCAACCUUCCUUCAGGCGGGGAAUAGCCCAGAGAAAUUUGGAUUAAUACCCCAUAAUAUUUUGAGAUGGCAUCAUCUUAUUAUUAAAGCUACGGCACCUGGAGAUGGGCGUGCGGCUGAUUAGGUAGUUGGCGGGGUAAUGGCCCACCAAGCCUACGAUCAGUAGCUGAUGUGAGAGCAUGAUCAGCCACACGGGCACUGAGACACGGGCCCGACUCCUACGGGAGGCAGCAGUAAGGAAUAUUGGUCAAUGGACGCAAGUCUGAACCAGCCAUGCCGCGUGGAGGAUGAAGGUCCUCUGGAUUGUAAACUUCUUUUAUCUGGGACGAAAAAAGGGUUUUCUAACUCGUCUGACGGUACCAGAUGAAUAAGCACCGGCUAACUCCGUGCCAGCAGCCGCGGUAAUACGGAGGGUGCAAGCGUUAUCCGGAUUCACUGGGUUUAAAGGGUGCGUAGGCGGGCAUUUAAGUCAGUGGUGAAAUGCCUGAGCUUAACUUGGGAACUGCCAUUGAUACUAUUUGUCUUGAAUGUCGUGGAGGUUAGCGGAAUAUGUCAUGUAGCGGUGAAAUGCUUAGAUAUGACAUAGAACACCUAUUGCGAAGGCAGCUAACUACGCGAAUAUUGACGCUGAGGCACGAAAGCGUGGGGAUCAAACAGGAUUAGAUACCCUGGUAGUCCACGCCCUAAACGAUGAUUACUCGACAUUAGCGAUACACUGUUAGUGUCUGAGCG
RNAcentral lists this ribosomal RNA (784 nucleotides) under uncultured bacterium. RNAcentral describes it as "SSU rRNA". It matches the Rfam family "Bacterial small subunit ribosomal RNA", at positions 70 to 853 of the family's 1533-position model. The record is from RNAcentral.